Molecule: non-coding RNA, 263 nt
Organism: Pelobates cultripes (western spadefoot toad)
Lineage: Eukaryota; Metazoa; Chordata; Amphibia; Anura; Pelobatidae
Source: the annotation of a GenBank genome assembly
CUGUAUUUCAAUCCAUGUGCCUCACACACUACAUUUACAAGACCAGUCAGAAAGCAUUACGAAGGAUAGUCUGGCAGGGGAAAUGUUAAUGUAGCAUGACUGUGGGCUGUAAGACCACGUUUGCUGAAGGCUGUUUCUGGUCACAUGCUAAUGUGGGGGAGGGAGAGAAGCAGCGCUUUUUUUCUUCUUUUGGGUUCUGCAGUAAGACCGCACAGAAGUAGUGAAAUAUUUAAAUUGACACUACGAUACACAUACGAUGCACU